CCUACGGGUGGCAGCAGUGAGGAAUAUUGGUCAAUGGACGAGAGUCUGAACCAGCCAAGUAGCGUGAAGGAUGACUGCCCUAUGGGUUGUAAACUUCUUUUAUAUGGGAAUAAAAUGUUCCACGUGUGGGAUUUUGUAUGUACCAUAUGAAUAAGGAUCGGCUAACUCCGUGCCAGCAGCCGCGGUAAUACGGAGGAUCCGAGCGUUAUCCGGAUUUAUUGGGUUUAACGGGAGCGUAGGUGGAUUGUUAAGUCAGUUGUGAAAGUUUGCGGCUCAACCGUAAAAUUGCAGUUGAAACUGGCAGUCUUGAGUACAGUAGAGGUGGGCGGAAUUCGAGGUGUAGCGGUGAAAUGCUUAGAUAUCACGAAGAACUCCGAUUGCGAAGGCAGUUCACUGGACUGCAACUGACACUGAGGCUCGAAAGUGUGGGUAUCAAACAGGAUUAGAUACCCCAGUAGUC
RNAcentral lists this ribosomal RNA (460 nucleotides) under uncultured bacterium. RNAcentral describes it as "partial 16S ribosomal RNA". It matches the Rfam family "Bacterial small subunit ribosomal RNA", at positions 338 to 795 of the family's 1533-position model. The record is from RNAcentral.